UCGGACCUCCGAUCAAGCAAGAG
This 23-nucleotide ribosomal RNA is filed under the name Ecklonia cava. Its description in RNAcentral is "partial 26S ribosomal RNA". RNAcentral also lists the same sequence under 2 other names. Lineage: Eukaryota; Phaeophyceae; Laminariales; Lessoniaceae. The record is from RNAcentral.